CCUACGGGAGGCAGCAGUGAGGAAUAUUGGUCAAUGGCCGUAAGGCUGAACCAGCCAAGUCGCGUGAAGGAAGAAGGAUCUAUGGUUUGUAAACUUCUUUUAUAGGGGAAUAAAGGUAUCCACGUGUGGAUAUUUGCAUGUACCCUAUGAAUAAGCAUCGGCUAACUCCGUGCCAGCAGCCGCGGUAAUACGGAGGAUGCGAGCGUUAUCCGGAUUUAUUGGGUUUAAAGGGUGCGUAGGUUGUUUGUUAAGUCAGCGGUGAAAGGUUGUGGCUCAACCGUAAAAUUGCCGUUGAAACUGGAAGGCGUGAGUGUAUUUGAGGUAGGCGGAAUGCGUGGUGUAGCGGUGAAAUGCAUAGAGAUCACGCAGAACUCCGAUUGCGAAGGCAGCUUACUAAGCCAUAACUGACACUGAAGCACGAAAGCGUGGGGAUCAAACAGGAUUAGAUACCCGGGUAGUC
RNAcentral lists this ribosomal RNA (460 nucleotides) under uncultured bacterium. Its description in RNAcentral is "partial 16S ribosomal RNA". It matches the Rfam family "Bacterial small subunit ribosomal RNA", at positions 338 to 795 of the family's 1533-position model. The record is from RNAcentral.